RNAcentral lists this long non-coding RNA (404 nucleotides) under Gossypium barbadense (sea-island cotton). RNAcentral's name for it is "long non-coding RNA (GBAR_LNC007300)". The record is from RNAcentral. Lineage: Eukaryota; Viridiplantae; Streptophyta; Magnoliopsida; Malvales; Malvaceae.
GGGUGUUACAGCUAUUUCUUCUCUGUAUUAAUUUUUUUCUUUUUAUUAUCUUAAUAUUAGCUUUCAUUUCAUCUUAUCUAUUUUCAUUCCAUGCCUGUAUUAUUCCUCAUUCUUUAGUAUGCCUAUUUGGCAAAUUUAGUCCUUAGUUUUUGCAUAGUUUUUGCAUGCUUAGGUAUUAGUACCUAUGAUUUUAGGAAUGGAUUCUCUAUCUAGGCCACUUAUAUUUUUUAUAUCCAUUACGAGAGGAUAGUUAGUGUCGUAUUUUUAUUUACACGUUUAUUUAUCGGCCUAUCUAUUUGUUUAAUUGGUGAUAUUUCUGUUAUUGUUUUUCUAGUAUUGGAUUAUUCUCUCUUUCAGCUACACCAUGACGAACACAUUGGCAAAUCUAAAGUCGCUGUCCCCGC